This 1713-nucleotide long non-coding RNA is filed under the name Nicotiana benthamiana. Its description in RNAcentral is "long non-coding RNA (NBEN_LNC038817)". The record is from RNAcentral. Lineage: Eukaryota; Viridiplantae; Streptophyta; Magnoliopsida; Solanales; Solanaceae.
CCAUUUUGGAAAUUCCAUAAAACCAACACACUAACUUUCAGCAAAAUAAAAAGCUGGUUGCAUAAUUAAAACAACCAUCUACUGCACUAUCUCUAACAGUCCUAAAUCAAAUAUAAACAUACAAAUUUUACUGCCUAAAUCAGAAACUAGGUAGAAAACAUAGUGAAUUCGAUUUGUUAAGACAUCACACAAAUGAGGAACUCUUAAAAGGCACAAAUUCAUUUCUUCAGUACAUCAAUUAGGCGAGCAUAUACUAUACAAUGUCUAUUACAGAAUACGUAAAUAAGUAGAAGAAGCAAAUGAAAGGAAAUCCAAAAAACCAAAACAACUUGUAUUCAGUCAGGCCUCAACUCGAAAUACAUGGUCUUAGUCACUUGUUGACAAUGAUUUUGAAGAAACACCUGGUAAUGAACAAAGAAGAUAAAAGAGGUGAAGAGUCUGCAAUCAACCAACAAAAAUAGUCAAUGCAACAGUGCCCAAAAUUCAGCAGCUCAAACCAGUAAAAAUGAACUAAAUAGCAAUAACUUCAACCCAGAACCAAACAGCAAAGCAGCUUAAAAAUCAUUUCCAAGCCAAAAUGGACCCCAGAUUUAUUUCAGAACUUCGAAACCCCAAGAAUUGUAAGAAAACUUGAAGGUAACAGUGUUUUUUUAUUUUUCUUCUAGUUUUUAGACCUUCUCAUUGUUCAAAAUUUUCUUUUGCCGUUUUUUAUAAUCUCCAGAAUUCUCUCUUUUUCAAUCUGCCUUCAAUGACAAGUAAAUGUGCCUUUAUAGGUAAGGCAUUAGGGCAGCCUAAAAGUGUUCAAUUUUUGCACUUCAGUCCUUUUCUAAUUUUGGUUUAUGCUUAGGAAUCCUUAGGUUAAAAUUCAGCCCAGUCCCUACCCCAGCUUCCUAGAAGCUUCCUCAGUUUGUUACAUAAGAUUACCCUAGUCUAUUACCCAAAAUACCUUUUCAACUUCUGAAAACUACCCCUCCAACCCAAUUAUGGGUCAAACUGACCCGACUCAAAUUGGUGUGUGUCUGCAAACCAAGUUGGAUUCUCUCUUGGGAUUUCUGACUCAAUUUCAAGUUCUUAGCCCUAAAUUCGAAUGAGUCUAAUAUAAGGUCUCAAACUGGGAAACCCGAAAUUUCUUUUUACUCAAUGGAAAAACUAAACAAAAGUAAAAUAAAACCAAAAAACACUAAUUACUUAACUAAAUUACAGCAUGCAAGCAGAGAAACAAUUCGGACAAAAAAAUGAAAACUAAAAGAUGAAAUAAAAAGGGAUCGAGGAGAGAAAGAAGCAUAAAAUAAAUGAAGAAUAAGAGGCAAAGAAAUAUACAUAAAAGGGUUCGGACAGUAGAAAUGGAAAGAAGUCUUCAAACCUUCCGAUUGUCGGCCAAAUCUGGUAUUAAUCUUGUGUUCUUAUCAAGAACACACGAUUAAAAUCAAAUUAGACCCAAAAUUUCAGCAAAAAACUUGAUUUGGGAUUUUAGGGUUCACUUUCGACUUAAAAUUCAAGAAAUUCUAGGGGGAUUCGAAGGUGAAGGGUUAGAGAUUUGGGUUAAAGGAGACUUGGUGGCCAUGAGGUGUUAAUCUGAGGGUGAGAGGAGGUGGCGCUGCCAGACUUAAGGUGGUGCGAAUAGGGGCAGCGAUCUAGGGUUUCUUUGGUCUCUGAAUAAGAGAGACGAUAAGAUGGGGGAGGGGUUUUGAGGGUAUGGGGCGGGGUUCCGAC